This 463-nucleotide ribosomal RNA is filed under the name Tannerella forsythia. RNAcentral describes it as "bacterial SSU rRNA". It matches the Rfam family "Bacterial small subunit ribosomal RNA", at positions 28 to 491 of the family's 1533-position model. Lineage: Bacteria; Pseudomonadati; Bacteroidota; Bacteroidia; Bacteroidales; Tannerellaceae. The record is from RNAcentral.
GAUGAACGCUAGCGAUAGGCUUAACACAUGCAAGUCGAGGGGCAUCGAGGGUAGCAAUACCUGUCGGCGACCGGCGCACGGGUGAGUAACGCGUAUGUAACCUGCCCGCAACAGAGGGAUAACCCGGCGAAAGUCGGACUAAUACCUCAUAAAACAGGGGUUCCGCAUGGGGCUAUUUGUUAAAGAUUUAUUGGUUGCGGAUGGGCAUGCGUACCAUUAGGUAGUUGGUGAGGUAACGGCUCACCAAGCCAUCGAUGGUUAGGGGUUCUGAGAGGAAGGUCCCCCACACUGGUACUGAGACACGGACCAGACUCCUACGGGAGGCAGCAGUGAGGAAUAUUGGUCAAUGGGCGAGAGCCUGAACCAGCCAAGUCGCGUGAAGGAUGACUGCCCUAUGGGUUGUAAACUUCUUUUACAGGGGAAUAAAAUGAGAUACGUGUAUUUAUGCAUUACCUGGAAAAGC